Molecule: ribosomal RNA, 2758 nt
Filed under: Klebsiella pneumoniae
Lineage: Bacteria; Pseudomonadati; Pseudomonadota; Gammaproteobacteria; Enterobacterales; Enterobacteriaceae
Description: bacterial LSU rRNA
Rfam family: Bacterial large subunit ribosomal RNA
Source: RNAcentral
CACUAUCGUUAACUGAAUACAUAGGUUAACGAGGCGAACCGGGGGAACUGAAACAUCUAAGUACCCCGAGGAAAAGAAAUCAACCGAGAUUCCCCCAGUAGCGGCGAGCGAACGGGGAGCAGCCCAGAGUCUGAAUCAGCUUGUGUGUUAGUGGAACGGUCUGGAAAGUCCGACGGUACAGGGUGAUAGUCCCGUACACCAAAAUGCACAGGCUGUGAACUCGAAGAGUAGGGCGGGACACGUGGUAUCCUGUCUGAAUAUGGGGGGACCAUCCUCCAAGGCUAAAUACUCCUGACUGACCGAUAGUGAACCAGUACCGUGAGGGAAAGGCGAAAAGAACCCCGGCGAGGGGAGUGAAAAAGAACCUGAAACCGUGUACGUACAAGCAGUGGGAGCACCUUCGGGUGUGACUGCGUACCUUUUGUAUAAUGGGUCAGCGACUUAUAUUCUGUAGCAAGGUUAACCGUAUAGGGGAGCCGCAGGGAAACCGAGUCUUAACUGGGCGUUAAGUUGCAGGGUAUAGACCCGAAACCCGGUGAUCUAGCCAUGGGCAGGUUGAAGGUUGGGUAACACUAACUGGAGGACCGAACCGACUAAUGUUGAAAAAUUAGCGGAUGACUUGUGGCUGGGGGUGAAAGGCCAAUCAAACCGGGAGAUAGCUGGUUCUCCCCGAAAGCUAUUUAGGUAGCGCCUCGUGAACUCAUCUUCGGGGGUAGAGCACUGUUUCGGCUAGGGGGUCAUCCCGACUUACCAACCCGAUGCAAACUACGAAUACCGAAGAAUGUUAUCACGGGAGACACACGGCGGGUGCUAACGUCCGUCGUGAAGAGGGAAACAACCCAGACCGCCAGCUAAGGUCCCAAAGUCAUGGUUAAGUGGGAAACGAUGUGGGAAGGCACAGACAGCCAGGAUGUUGGCUUAGAAGCAGCCAUCAUUUAAAGAAAGCGUAAUAGCUCACUGGUCGAGUCGGCCUGCGCGGAAGAUGUAACGGGGCUAAACCAUGCACCGAAGCUGCGGCAGCGACACUAUGUGUUGUUGGGUAGGGGAGCGUUCUGUAAGCCUGCGAAGGUGACCUGUGAGGGUUGCUGGAGGUAUCAGAAGUGCGAAUGCUGACAUAAGUAACGAUAAAGCGGGUGAAAAGCCCGCUCGCCGGAAGACCAAGGGUUCCUGUCCAACGUUAAUCGGGGCAGGGUGAGUCGACCCCUAAGGCGAGGCCGAAAGGCGUAGUCGAUGGGAAACAGGUUAAUAUUCCUGUACUUGGUGUUACUGCGAAGGGGGGACGGAGAAGGCUAUGUUAGCCGGGCGACGGUUGUCCCGGUUUAAGCAUGUAGGCUGGUUGUCCAGGCAAAUCCGGAUAAUCAAGGCUGAGGUGUGAUGACGAGGCACUACGGUGCUGAAGUAACAAAUGCCCUGCUUCCAGGAAAAGCCUCUAAGCAUCAGGUAACAUUAAAUCGUACCCCAAACCGACACAGGUGGUCAGGUAGAGAAUACCAAGGCGCUUGAGAGAACUCGGGUGAAGGAACUAGGCAAAAUGGUGCCGUAACUUCGGGAGAAGGCACGCUGGUGUGUAGGUGAAGUCCCUGCGGAUGGAGCUGAGACCAGUCGAAGAUACCAGCUGGCUGCAACUGUUUAUUAAAAACACAGCACUGUGCAAACACGAAAGUGGACGUAUACGGUGUGACGCCUGCCCGGUGCCGGAAGGUUAAUUGAUGGGGUUAUCCGUAAGGAGAAGCUCUUGAUCGAAGCCCCGGUAAACGGCGGCCGUAACUAUAACGGUCCUAAGGUAGCGAAAUUCCUUGUCGGGUAAGUUCCGACCUGCACGAAUGGCGUAAUGAUGGCCAGGCUGUCUCCACCCGAGACUCAGUGAAAUUGAACUCGCUGUGAAGAUGCAGUGUACCCGCGGCAAGACGGAAAGACCCCGUGAACCUUUACUAUAGCUUGACACUGAACAUUGAGCCUUGAUGUGUAGGAUAGGUGGGAGGCUUUGAAGCGUGGACGCCAGUCUGCGUGGAGCCAACCUUGAAAUACCACCCUUUAAUGUUUGAUGUUCUAACGUUGGCCCCUGACCGGGGUUGCGGACAGUGUCUGGUGGGUAGUUUGACUGGGGCGGUCUCCUCCCAAAGCGUAACGGAGGAGCACGAAGGUUAGCUAAUCCUGGUCGGACAUCAGGAGGUUAGUGCAAUGGCAUAAGCUAGCUUGACUGCGAGCGUGACGGCGCGAGCAGGUGCGAAAGCAGGUCAUAGUGAUCCGGUGGUUCUGAAUGGAAGGGCCAUCGCUCAACGGAUAAAAGGUACUCCGGGGAUAACAGGCUGAUACCGCCCAAGAGUUCAUAUCGACGGCGGUGUUUGGCACCUCGAUGUCGGCUCAUCACAUCCUGGGGCUGAAGUAGGUCCCAAGGGUAUGGCUGUUCGCCAUUUAAAGUGGUACGCGAGCUGGGUUUAGAACGUCGUGAGACAGUUCGGUCCCUAUCUGCCGUGGGCGCUGGAGAAUUGAGGGGGGCUGCUCCUAGUACGAGAGGACCGGAGUGGACGCAUCACUGGUGUUCGGGUUGUCAUGCCAAUGGCACUGCCCGGUAGCUAAAUGCGGAAGAGAUAAGUGCUGAAAGCAUCUAAGCACGAAACUUGCCCCGAGAUGAGUUCUCCCUGAGACUUUAAGUCUCCUGAAGGAACGUUAAAGACGAUGACGUUGAUAGGCCGGGUGUGUAAGCGCAGCGAUGCGUUGAGCUAACCGGUACUAAUGAACCGUGAGGCUUAACCUU